AUUGAACGCUGGCGGCAUGCCUUACACAUGCAAGUCGAACGGCAGCGCGGGGCAACCUGGCGGCGAGUGGCGAACGGGUGAGUAAUAUAUCGGAACGUACCCUGGAGUGGGGGAUAACGUAGCGAAAGUUACGCUAAUACCGCAUACGAUCUAAGGAUGAAAGUGGGGGAUCGCAAGACCUCAUGCUCCUGGAGCGGCCGAUAUCUGAUUAGCUAGUUGGUAGGGUAAAANCCUACCAAGGCAUCGAUCAGUAGCUGGUCUGAGAGGACGACCAGCCACACUGGAACUGAGACACGGUCCAGACUCCUACGGGAGGCAGCAGUGGGGAAUUUUGGACAAUGGGCGCAAGCCUGAUCCAGCAAUGCCGCGUGAGUGAAGAAGGCCUUCGGGUUGUAAAGCUCUUUUGUCAGGGAAGAAACGGGUUUUUCUAAUACAGAGAUCUAAUGACGGUACCUGAAGAAUAAGCACCGGCUAACUACGUGCCAGCAGCCGCGGUAAUACGUAGGGUGCAAGCGUUAAUCGGAAUUACUGGGCGUAAAGCGUGCGCAGGCGGUUUUGUAAGACUGUCGUGAAAUCCCCGGGCUCAACCUGGGAAUGGCGAUGGUGACUGCAAGGCUAGAGUUUGGCAGAGGGGGGUAGAAUUCCACGUGUAGCAGUGAAAUGCGUAGAUAUGUGGAGGAACACCGAUGGCGAAGGCAGCCCCCUGGGUCAAAACUGACGCUCAUGCACGAAAGCGUGGGGAGCAAACAGGAUUAGAUACCCUGGUAGUCCACGCCCUAAACGAUGUCUACUAGUUGUCGGGUUUUAAUUAACUUGGUAACGCAGCUAACGCGUGAAGUAGACCGCCUGGGGAGUACGGUCGCAAGAUUAAAACUCAAAGGAAUUGACGGGGACCCGCACAAGCGGUGGAUGAUGUGGAUUAAUUCGANGCAACGCGAAAAACCUUACCUACCCUUGACAUGGCAGAAAUCCUCGAGAGAUUGAGGAGUGCUCGAAAGAGAAUCUGCACACAGGUGCUGCAUGGCUGUCGUCAGCUCGUGUCGUGAGAUGUUGGGUUAAGUCCCGCAACGAGCGCAACCCUUGUCAUUAGUUGCUACGUAAGAGCACUCUAAUGAGACUGCCGGUGACAAACCGGAGGAAGGUGGGGAUGACGUCAAGUCCUCAUGGCCCUUAUGGGUAGGGCUUCACACGUCAUACAA
Molecule: ribosomal RNA, 1199 nt
Filed under: uncultured bacterium
Lineage: Bacteria
Description: bacterial SSU rRNA
Rfam family: Bacterial small subunit ribosomal RNA
Source: RNAcentral